Molecule: long non-coding RNA, 4109 nt
Organism: Dreissena polymorpha
Lineage: Eukaryota; Metazoa; Mollusca; Bivalvia; Myida; Dreissenidae
Exons: 3
Source: RefSeq, a predicted model, not a curated record
AUGCACAUAUGGGUCCCAUAUGGGCUGUUUCUGGGCAAACCCAUAUGGGUAAGCCCAUAUGGGAGUCAUUUGGGACCAAUAUGGGCUAGCCCAUAUGGGAAUGCCCACAAGGGUCCCAUAUAGGUCCCAUAUGAUUGCGCUAUCGGGAAAAAUAUGUAAACUUGUAUUUAUUUGAUAAAAAACUCAUUUCUUAAAACGUAUGUAGGACUAACAUGAUCUAAACUGCUAAUAUUCUACCCAAAAAUAGAAAAUCAAUGCAUAAGCAAAUAAUAUGCGGCCCAUAUGGGUCCCAUACGGGUCCCAUAUGGGACUCAUUUGGGAGCUAUAUGGGCUUGCCCAUGUGGGAAUGGCGAUAAGGGUCCCAUAUAGGUCCCAUAUUAUUGCGCUAUCACGAAAAAGAUGUAAACUUGUAUUUAUUUGAUUAAAAACUCAUUUCUUAAAACGUAUGCUGGACUAACUUGAUCUAAACUGCUAAUAUUUUACCCAAAAAUAGAAAAUCAAUGGAUAAGCAAAUAAUAUGCUGUCCAUAUAGGUCCCAUAUGGGUCCCAUUUGUGCCGCCCAACAAAAGACAAAAUCAGCUACCGGGCUGUUCCUGGGCAAACCCAUAUGGGUAAGCCCAAAUGGGAGUCAUUUGGGACCUAUAUGGGUUAGCCCAUAUGGGAAUGCCCUUAAGGGUCCCAUAUAGGUCCCAUAUUAUUGAGUUAUCAGGAAAAAGAUAUAAACUUUUAUUUAUUUGAUUAAAAACUAAUUUCUUAAAACGUAUGUAUGAUAAAUUUGAUCUCAACUGCUAAUAUUUUAUCCAAAAAUAUCAACUCAAUGCAUAAGCAAAUAAUAUGCAGCCCAUAUGGGUCCCAUACCGGUCCCAUUUUGGCCGCCCAACAAAGGACAAAAUCAGCUAUCGGGCGCACUUUUUUUUUUUGAAAAUUCUGUUUUUGAUAUGGCUUUGUUUUAAAUAAUGUAUAUACUAUGAUUAAUAUGAAGUUAUUUUCAAGAGAUAAUUUCAAUUUAAAUAAUCGCGCAGAAAAAUAAAGAAUUUAAAUAAUAUGCGCAUGCGCAGAUGUUAAUUCCGCCUCGCGAAAACAUUCAAAACAAAAACACUCGAAACGAAAAUAAAAUAUUCACCACCACCUGGUUUGCCAACAUCGUCUUUACAAGGAAUGUCCAGCAGUGCAUGACAGAGGCCGGUCACUCCCAUUAAGUCCAGCUGAAGAGCCUUCCCAGUUCAUAGGACAAAAUGUAGUUACACAGAUUUUAACGGUGUUGGAAACAAUGAGAGACGAGAACAGGGAAAUGAAGUGGAUGCUGCAGCGGCUCUUGGCUAGGUCAGCUACUGAUGACGAGCCAAUGCAACUGCCAGAGAACAUCAGUCUUCCAAUUGGAACAUUUGAGCAAAUGGAUGAGUUUGAAGAGCAUCUUGGUGAUGAAGCUACGAUCCAUCUUUUCUAGGACUGCUGCAUAGUUCAAGCUUUUUUAUCAAAUAUAUUAAGCAAUGUUGUAAAUGUAUUUGACAGUUCUUUCUCCAUUGAUCCUAAACCAUUCCAGGGGUGGCGAAAUCAAAUGUCCGAGUUGCCCGAGUCGUACAUUUGCUUGUCUGGGCAACUGAUUUUUUUCAAUUAAGUUGUCCGUGGACAACAAGUUUUUUUAAAGUCUGGUCCAGGUAUACAAAAACAAUACACUGUAUUAAAGCCGUAAUUAAGUUUUACAAAACCGGAUGUUGACACGCGAUAACAUUGUCAGUGCUAUUUGCGGAGCGAUCAAGCUAAAAUACGGGCACUCUCCUGCGCAGUGAUCUCCCUUAUUCUAUAAGAGACCGGGAGCAUGCUGCAUUUUCAACAUUCGGCCUGACUGUUAGACAGUGUACAGACUGGUCUCUUUAUAUUUACAAUCAGACGGAAAUCAAAAGUAUCAAACUAAGAUAAUCAAAACACGGUCUACCUUGUUAUUUGAGACGACUUUAAUGGUAAAGAUGGAACAUUUUGUUUUUUUUUAAUCUUCAACAACAGAGCAGAAACACGAAGCUUUGAGCAGUCCACCUCCCAUAAAUACUAAGAAAGAUUAUGAUACAAAAUAUGAUCUAAGUAAACGCACCAGAACUUUAAAAAAAACUUGGCUAACAGAUUUUCAAUGGUUACCAGUUGAUGAUAAUCAAAUUGCUACCAGUAGCGGUGCAGAGCCUCAGUCUGAUGAGGUCGACAUAUUGGACUAGUUUAAUUUGUUAAGAUUACCGUGUACUUUUGUUCAACACAUGUUUUAAUAGCACUAGCUUUGCAAGAUUAAAAGUUUGAUAAAGUCUUUAUAUUGUUUAUAAUAUACUGCUAUAAUGAAUGUACCAUUGAAAUACAACUAUAAACAAAACAAGCAAAUCAUACUCAUUUUGAUAUAUUCCACAUUAUUUUACAUUAAUCAAUAAAUGCGUUUAUAAUUUAAAUAAACAUUAACGGACAAGUAUAGUUCAGCAACGGACAAGUUAAAUUUCCUAAAUGGUUGUCCGUGGACAAGUAUAGUUUUUUUAGAUUUCGCCAACCCUGCAUUCCUUUAAGGCUCAUCUUCUAAGAAAGCAUACAAUCUUUUUUAUCUGGAAAUGAAAUGGUAUAUAUUCCUUUGCAAAAGAAGAAACAGCAUUCCAGUUUUUGAAGGUUUUAAAAGACAUAUAUAUAUAUCAUGUGCAAUUAUGAAAUACACUAGAAUGUAUGAAGAUAUCAAAGAUAAUAAUAUGGACUUAAUCUUGAACAAGGAUUUGCCAUUUAUUUGAGUUUUGGAUUUUUUUGCAGGGUUUUUAAUUUCUAGUUUUUAUUUAAUGCUUUCCGGUGGUUUAUAGAGAAAUAUCAGUGAAUUAAAACUGGUUCAAACAGUGAAAAUUAUCAGUGAGAAUUAUCGAUAAUUUUCAUUGUUUACUGUGAAAUGAUGUCAUUUUUUGACGAAAUGACGUCAUUAUCCCAGCAAAAUUCUUUAGUUAAACUCUUUAACAAUGUAUAUAAACGGUGAAAAAUGCAUUAAAUAAAAAGAAAAUUUGUUGGAUUCGGUGGAUUAUCAAUUUUAAUUAACUCGUGUUCAUAGAGAAUAUAUAUUUUCUAUGAUCACUCGUGAAUUAAAAUCGAUAAUCCACCGGAUCCAACAAAUAUCCUCUAUAUAAAAUAUUUUGUUUAGUCUUGCAAGUAUGUUUUCUACAAAUGUUCUUUGAGUACAUGGUGUAUUAUUUGUAUUUAUUUUAUACUUUCCGGUGGUUUAUAGAGAAAUAUCAGUGAAUUAAAACUGAUAAUUUCACUGUUUCAAACAAUGAAAAUUAUCAGUGAAAAUUAUCGAUAAUUUUCACUGUUUAUGUUAAAUGACGUCAUUUUUUGGACGAAAUGACGUCAUUUUCCCAACGUAAUUCUUUAGUUAAACUCUUUAACAAUGUAUAUAAACUGUGAAAUAAAGCAUAAAAUAAAAAGAAAAUUUGUUGGGUUCGGUGGAUUAUCGAUUUUAAUUCACUCGUGAUCAUAUAAAAUGUAUAUUUUCACUCGUGGCUGCGCCACUCGUGAAAAUAUUAUUUUCUAUGAUCACUCGUGAAUUAAAAUCGAUAAUCCAUCGAAUCCAACAAAUAUCCUCUAUUGGUUAGAGAUUUUAUAUGCAAGGGUAUGCUUUUGAGUAAUGUGUAGUACAUCAGGAAAAUACUUGAAGGUAUUUUGUAUAAUUAUGUAAUAUAUAUUUAUUAUCAAAAUAAUAGAAGUCCUUAAUUCUAUAGUUGUGUAACUGGUCAACAUAUAUAAUGUUAUAGAAAAACGUCUUAUUGUUUGAAGUUAUGUCUUUAUUGUAUUAUGAAAUAGUUUUACUGUUGGUUUGGGUUUAUAGAUUAUGAGUUUCAUUACUCCUUGCAGAUAGAACAUUAGAUAGAAACAUGUGUUUGUAAGCAACUUCAUGUAAAAGCGGAUAGAACAUUAGAUAGAAACAUGUUUUCGUUAGCAACUUCAUGUAAAAUAUUUUUGCUGAUGUUACAUUCAAAAAGUUAGGAAUCACCAUAUUAUUUUAGAAUUCUCUGGUAGAAUAGUUAACUUGGGAUCCUCCUGCUAUGUAUGUAUGUAUCCAUGUAUAUGUGUGUAAUACUUUAUGUGAAUAAAAGUUGAGAGUA